RNAcentral lists this non-coding RNA (30 nucleotides) under Mus musculus (house mouse). The record is from RNAcentral. Lineage: Eukaryota; Metazoa; Chordata; Mammalia; Rodentia; Muridae.
CCCUAAAUGCUGUUCAACCAUUUGAGCACC